UACCAGACUCCUACGGGAGGCAGCAGUGGGGAAUAUUGGGCAAUGGGCGCAAGCCUGACCCAGCAACGCCGCGUGAAGGAAGAAGGCUUUCGGGUUGUAAACUUCUUUUAUUCGGGACGAAGAAAGUGACGGUACCGAAUGAAUAAGCACCGGCUAACUCCGUGCCAGCAGCCGCGGUAAUACGGAGGGUGCAAGCGUUGUCCGGAAUUACUGGGUGUAAAGGGAGCGCAGGCGGGAAGCCAAGUCAGCUGUGAAAACUACGGGCUUAACUUGUAGACUGCAGUUGAAACUGGUCUUCUUGAGUGAAGGAGAGGUUGGCGGAAUUCCGAGUGUAGCGGUGAAAUGCGUAGAUAUUCGGAGGAACACCGGUGGCGAAGGCGGCCAACUGGGCUUUAACUGACGCUGAGGCUCGAAAGUGUGGGGAGCAAACAGGAUUAGAUACCCGUGUA
This 449-nucleotide ribosomal RNA is filed under the name uncultured bacterium. Its description in RNAcentral is "bacterial SSU rRNA". It matches the Rfam family "Bacterial small subunit ribosomal RNA", at positions 329 to 792 of the family's 1533-position model. The record is from RNAcentral.